AGAAACGAGCCAACCGCCUGAAUGAGUGCGAAGCGUGUCGUACACGUGUAUGACAGUAAGAUGCUCUUUUGAGAUGACCAACAUCAAUUCUUCUCAUAAGACAGUAAGAACACGAUCAAAUCUCUACCUCUCUUGUUCUUUUUUUACCUAAUCCGUAACAUUCAAACGGGAAACGUGUUGGUCUCCACACCGUAUGGGUUGGGACCUCACACAAAGCUGAAGGAGUAGAUAUUGCAUUGGAGCAUAUUCACAACAUACGGGAAGCCCUUCCUGAACUAUGGGAUUCUGUUGACGACAAAGCCCAGGAGAUUAGAGUCAGGCAGAAGGUUGCCAUUGAAACCAUAGCUUAAACAAAAAAAAAACAUUUCACUCAUAUUUCUCAGCUGCUGAUAGUAACACAUUUCUCAUCAUCACUACUCACUCUUGGAAGAGAAAAUAAUAAGUGAUAAACACAUACCUUUAGAUUCGAUUUGUUCAUCCUCUCCAGAACCGGAAAUCUUGUGUUGGUAUCUGUAUCGGAGAAGAAGAUACAAUGGAGAGGGAGAUUAGUAGUACUUUGAGGAAUCUAAAGGUAUUUGUUUAUCUUUACAUGUAGCUUUAUCCAUCAAUAUGCACACAUGCUUAUCACAAGUUAUAGAGUUGAUUUGGGACCAAAGUUGCAAACUUUCAGUAACGAAAUUGCGUUAUCAAUCGUGUAGCUCUUACAAUUUGUGAGCAAGUGUCUGCUUUGAAAGAGUUGGUUUGAUGAACUUUAUAUUGGUUGCUGGUGCUGUUUGUUUCUUGUUUAUGCAAAGGUCUGCUUUGAAAGAGGAGAAGAAGAAGAAGAUUGAUGAAGAGCCUAAUGCGAGUUUUUCUUCUCUCGCAAGUGUUGUUGCAAAGAAGUGGUACUGCAUCUUUUGUUUUGUUUGCUAUAGUUGUGUAUGUGUUGUCUACCCUUUUGGUUCUGUUGUUUCGGGCUCUUGAUUAAUUACAUCCUUCUGUUCAUGAAUUGUGAUAAUAGCCUGUAGUAGUUUGGUUAUUUGUCAGUAUUAAACAAGUAUCAUGUGUUUGGUUGUGUGUUUCUAAAUAAGUGAUUUGAUGAUUGAUGCAAUGUGGUCAUAACAGACUGGGUUCCUCAGAUUACAAGAUAGCUUUGCAGAUUCCGAUCACAAUCACCUUCGCAUGGCGAAGAUGAUUGAUCACGACGAUCUCAUGGCGACCGUGCCUAGACUCAUAUCGUCUACAACAUCAAUAUACAAAGCAUAAGCGAAAGUAAAUGACUGAUGCUUCUUUCUUCUACUUAUAUGUAUUUCUCAGAUUCCAACUGCAAAGAUACUAUCUCAGCCAGAGUCUCUCCUCUACUCUUUCCCUUGUCAAGCUUGGAUGCCACCUCAGAUUGAAGACACCUAUCACAUUGCUAGGACGAAUGUCAUUUCAGUCUUUCAACCCUUCUAUCGAGCGAACCGAAGAUCGAGCCAAGUCGGAAAACAAAUGGUGACUUGAAAAGGAAACAUGCUGAGGGAGUCUCUGAGGAACAAAACCAUCCAAGCAACUCUCCGAGGAGCAGUGACACGCCUUUACCGAGCAACAAAAAAGGCCGUAAUGGUUUCAAAAAAACAAAGAGCAGGAAGGAGGCCUGGAGCGUUUUGAAGCCACCAAAACCUCAAACCAACAAGGUUCAAAUUAGCUCUACCUUUUUUUUUGACAUCAAAUUAGCUCUACCUAUUUGCUUUUAUUUCAUAUGUGAUAGUAGAUCGUUCCUUCCACUUGUCUGUAUCCGUUUGAUAAGUUAAUAGCCAAAAGUUUUGAACUCCCUACCUGAUUGUUUUACACUUGUGUUAGCUCAGAUAUAUGAGGAAACAAUCUUGUCUUCUCUUUAAGAUUAUAAUCCAUAAUUACUAUAUGUACUUAUGAUGAACACGCUUGAGUGACUGAGGGUGGAUAUAGUUCAAGGAUCGUGGUGGCAAUGAUAAAGCAAUGUUUUACCGAUAGAAAUUCCAAAUAUCAAAUUGCUAACACGACAUUCAUCUUUUGUCUACUAAUAACAUAGGAUUAUGUUUCACAGCAUUCAAAGCAUAUCAUGAAGAAAUAGAAUACUUCUACAAGUCUUCAAGUUUGAAGAGGAGCAAGCAUACAAGACGACACUUCAAUGUCUAGCUCCUCUUCUGGCUUUGAAGAACCUCUCCUUGAUUGAGAUUAAUUCUUUUACAACCUCACUCAUUUCCAACCGGUUUGCUGGAGACUCUUCAGAACACCCAAGUCCCACUUCUAAAACCUUUGUCAAGCACUCAGCAGCAGGGAAGCCAAUUCUAAGGCCGCUGUGAAGAAUUGAUUCGUCUGCGACAUCCAAAACUUGAUCUGGCAAUGCAGACCUGAUGCAGCUACGGAUGGUAAAGUCUCCUCCGAACAUCUCAUCGGUUGGUCGUUUUCCACUAAACAGUUCAAGAAUGAGAAUCCCAAAACUGUAGGCAUCACCAUGUACUGAUAUUUCUCCUCCCAUUGCAUAUUC
This is a long non-coding RNA of Brassica napus (rape), 2488 nucleotides long. RefSeq lists it as uncharacterized. The record is from RefSeq and is a predicted model, not a curated record. Lineage: Eukaryota; Viridiplantae; Streptophyta; Magnoliopsida; Brassicales; Brassicaceae. The transcript has 3 exons.